This 89-nucleotide microRNA precursor is filed under the name Oryza sativa Japonica Group (Japanese rice). RNAcentral's name for it is "MIR1862 microRNA precursor family". It matches the Rfam family "MIR1862 microRNA precursor family". Lineage: Eukaryota; Viridiplantae; Streptophyta; Magnoliopsida; Poales; Poaceae. The record is from Rfam by way of RNAcentral.
UACUCCCUCCGUCCCAUAAUAUAGCAACCUAGUACCGGAUGAGACAUCUUAUAGUACUGGGUUGCUAUAUUAUGGGACGGAGGGAGUAU